UUAAGAGAAAACUCUUAACUAAGAACUUUUACUGCCAUUUAGGAAAACUCUUAGUGGUAAGAUAAAAUGUUUUGUGAAUACGGCCCCAAGAGUUUAGUCAAUUUAACAUAAUAUUUUAGGAUCCAUCAGAUUACUACGUGAUGCUGUAUCACUUGAACUGACUGACUAUGAAGCGCGCAAUUUGUGGUGGCCAUUUUAAAAAAGUUUUACGAUAACUUCUGUCAGGAUAAGACUGUUCAUCCACGGCGAGGGCAUUUCUUGAAUGAAGAAAAAAAAACUUUGAUCAUCUGACUUUGAUAGAGUCAAGAUCAAAGAAUUCAAAAGAUUGACGGCUGUCGAUGUGGAAUCCACCUUCAUUGGAAAUUUGGACAAUUACAUAGAACAGCUCUUUCGUUUAUUUCGCACUAAGGGAGGAUGUGCAGGAUGCAAAAUCUGUGAUUUGAUGAAAUUGCUGGACCAGGAUCACUGCGUGGACAUUUGCAGAGAGGUGGUGAUAUGCUGUCUGAUCGUAUACCUGUCUGAGAACACAGAGAGUCUGAUUGCACAUUACCUGGACACUAAUGGGGAAGUGGACCAACAAGACAUUGGAGAGCACACACUGAAAAUUGUGACCAAAGGGGGCUCUCCAAAUGUGAGUCCUUUAGAGGCAGGAAUAAUCUUACAAGGUGUUGAGGUUC
This is a long non-coding RNA of Ctenopharyngodon idella (grass carp), 677 nucleotides long. RefSeq lists it as uncharacterized. The record is from RefSeq and is a predicted model, not a curated record. Lineage: Eukaryota; Metazoa; Chordata; Actinopteri; Cypriniformes; Xenocyprididae. The transcript has 5 exons.